RNAcentral lists this long non-coding RNA (14666 nucleotides) under Chlamydomonas reinhardtii. RNAcentral's name for it is "long non-coding RNA (CREI_LNC000957)". Lineage: Eukaryota; Viridiplantae; Chlorophyta; Chlorophyceae; Chlamydomonadales; Chlamydomonadaceae. The record is from RNAcentral.
AGUGCCCCUGCACGCCUGGACAAGGCGGGUGGGGUCCACACCGCCCAGCCAUCACCACACACCCCACCUGCCACACCCAUCCUUGUGCACUGUUGUUUCACAUUUUCAUAUGUGCAUGUUGCCUGACCUAUUUGCAAUGCAGACACGAGCAGGGAGCCAUGUUGCCAGCCCUCACAGUGCCUUCAGUGCCCCUGCACGCCUGGACAAGGUGGGUGGGGUCCACACAGCCCAGCCAUCACCAGACACCCCACCUGCCACACCCACCCUUGUGCACUGUUGUUUCACAUUUUCAUAUGUGCAUGCUGCCUGACCUAUUUGCAAUGCAGACACGAGCAGGGAGCCAUGUUGCCAGCCCUCACAGUGCCUUCAGUGCCCCUGCACGCCUGGACAAGGCGGGUGGGGUGCCACACAUGAUUCCGUAGCGUAACUCGCAUGCCCUCGCAUGCGCCAUUGCACCCUUCCCUUGCAUGCUCCUCUCCCUUUCCUCCUCCCCUCGUCGUCUUCCACCAUGCAUGCACACUCUGUACAUACACGCUCGCGCGUGCGCCCCCAGGCCAAGGGCAAGUACGGCGCAGUGGAGGACAAGGGCAUCUACCCCGAGGUGCGCUCGCCGGCCCGCUUACUUCAUGCAACCUGCAGCCCCGCACUUGCCCACCUCAAGCCUGGGGUCCGUGGUCCGUGGUUGUGCAGGUUGUGCCUGGGGUCCGUGGUCCCUUCCUAGCCCCCUGCAUGCUAGAUUGCAUUGUCGGCCUAUGGGGACAUUGCACCCUCUCCAUGCGGGUCCCACUCCAGGACAAAUCGUGUCCCCAGGGAGGCGCCCACCUGAUGGCACCCCAAACCCCCUGAUAGAUAGUUCUUUAAGGAUGCCACCACGCCGUCCCUAACUGAAGGACAAUAUAUCAGGGGGUUUUCAAGCCAAACCCGCCAGUUGAGGAGGCCAGGAGACGGCGCCCCAAACAAAACGCAGAGCGGGAUACAGACUCCGCCACUCAAUGUAUAUGUUACAUGCAAUCUAUUGGAGCAAUAGCGCUUGACGGCAGGCUAAAACGUGCUCGCCGACGCUCAAGUCACGACAUUGACCGACCAACAUCCUGCAUAGUUGUUUUGGGGCGUUGUCGAUUCACUCUGGGAACCUAGCUGCUUCAGGCUUGCUUCAGGCUAGCUUCAGGAAAAUGACCCUAGUCAAGGCUUCAGGAUGCUUGCUUCAGGGAAGAGACCAUAUCAGGAAAACGUUGAAGCACUUCAGGAAAGGGCCUGAAGCACCGACACCCUGAAGCCCUCUGUCACCCGCCCCGCAACCGGUGUUCAUCAGAGGUGUCUACAGACACCGAACUGUUAUCCCCAUUGUCAUGUCGAUCAAGCACUCUCACCUCCACUGCACCGAGCACCACAUGCCCAUGUCCUCGUCAUAACCUGAAUACCUGCAAGCCUGCCGUGUCAGCAGCUGUGUGAGCAGUGAGCAGUGCGCAAGCGAUGUUAGAGCAUCUUGACUGUGGACUGCAAGCCAGGCAAAAACACCCCCGAGCAAGUAGGCCUCAAGUCCUUGCGAAGAAUUCCAUCCAACAAAUGAUUCAGACGCACUAAGGGACAUGGGCAUAUACUUAGCUUGCAAGAGGCUUGAGGUCAGCGACGAAGACGACCGCUUUGACCGAGUUGUAGCCAGCUCCACAGGUCGUUCACAAGCACGGAGCAUAUCUACAUUUGGUUAUCACAACUUCCUUCAUAGCUUUGAUUAUUAAAGAACCAUCCAGAUCAAGACAGCGUCGGGGGUAAUGAUAAAGGCUCGCCCAAUUAUUGCUUGACUGCAUGUAUGUGUUUACAGGGACAUAUUGAAGUAAAUAUGUUGAAGAAUACAGUAGUGUGCAGCAAGUGGACUCCGUCUGGGACUUCAGUAGCUCGGUGCUGCUGAGUCCCAUGCAGCACGCCGAUGCGGAAGGGCAACACCCAUGCAGCCUACUUCAUUUCCCGCGCAUGGCCUGCAUGCCAUCCUUGCCCGAGUGUCUGGUGCCUUCCCAUGACGCCGGUGCUGCGUUUAGGAUGGAGCAGCCUCGCACCGGUGGUGUAGGGGGGCAUGUGUGUGCUGUGUGUGGUGGUCAUCAGUAGUGGCGGGUUUUACGGUCUGUGCGUAUGCAGGGGAGGCAAGCCAUCACCCUCCAGCGUGCAUAGAUAGCUGGUUAUAGCCUAUAUCCCACAAUGCACGAGUUGGGGGGCGGGCAGGCCCAAGCUGGUGGUGGCAAUGCCUGGUGUGGGUGCCGUCACCCUUUUUGGCAUGCCCCAUGCCAAAAAGGGUGACGCCCAGACGUGGGGCCACUGGUGUUGUGUCAGGCCGCCUGCACCCCCUAAUUCUCACGCAUGACAUGCAUGCCAUCCUUGCCCGAGUGUCUGGUGCCUUCCCAUGUCGCCGGUGCUGCGUUAAGGAUGCAGCAGCCUCGCGCCGGUGGCGGGGGGGUGCACCGUUAGUGCACACCGUCAGCCCUUGAUCAAUCGAUGUAUCAUUUUCCCACGUUGGCACCAGACAAAGCAUAAGCAUGUCAUUGUGCAUAGAAUGUAGCAAUAUUGAUGUUGGUUUGAUUGCAAACAGACCCCUGACCUGAAGCAAUGUUCCUGAAGCGCGGCAUCUUGUGCGAGGCUGGGCCCGACAGCAAGAAACGUGCCCGAGAGUCGCAUUCAUGCACUCAUUUGUUACAAAGCUUCAUCACAAAGAACAUAGUGGGACUAGCGGUUGAUGUACGGUGAAUGUCGCGCACAUUCUCUUGUUUCUUGCCAACACCUGUGACAGCACAAAAUGCAAAGACACAAUGCAACAGGCAGCUGCAGUAGGCUGUGCAAAUGUCAUGCUUCCGGCCUGUUGCCAGUGCCAAACCUGAAGCCUGAAGGUGACGGUUCACUACACCUGAAGCAGCCCUGAAGCAGCCCUGAAGCGAAAGUCGGGUUCCUGAAGCCCCGGCCAUUCCCCGAGUGAUUGCCGUCAACACAGAUAUCUGCAUAGAUGUAAUCAGGCUACUAUCUGGCCUGAUAUGGCGUGUCCUGGCGAACGCGACUGUCACAUGUAGAUGUUUGAGGUCGGCCCCGGCUCAAUUAAGUGCCCCGGAGUUACUCUAAUGCGGUAGUAGAUGUUAUACAAAUGGUACUUGGCUGGGGACACGACCGGCCCGUAGGGCCGUGCGCGAGUUAGACGUUGCCGACCGACCUCGCAGCGCCACCUUGCCGGUUCCUGAGGCGCCUAGUAAUUGCUAUAUAUAAAUAUGGGUCCCUUUUAUGGGGACACGCGGCCACACACCGGUGCUCGCGCAGACCCGGACCUCAACUUGGCGACGCAGCGUUCUUAAGUGGGGGGGCCAAAUUCUGUGCGCUGUAUUUACAAAACUGGGUCCCUCACGGCUGCCCGGACAGCAAAUGGCCGCGGUUCCGACACAAACGCCGCGGAGCGCACUCCCGUAUGUGGCCCCAGCUAUGUCGCGAGCACGCGCAAUGCUCCUCGCAACACAGCUGGGUCACGCCCGGCGCCCCGGCCCCGCCCCCCCCCGGAGCAUCGCCCGCGCGGCUAAGUCCGGUUUCUAUUAUUAUUCUUCUUAUGAUAUAGGAAUAAUAAUAAUAAUAAUAAUUCAAACGCCGGCCCAUGGGGCCUGGCGUGGAUUAUCGGGGUAAGGUGGCUAGGGCGAGGAGGCCCAUCCCCCUCGCGCUGCCACCUCACCACGCACUCCGAGGAGGUGUGGGGGAGCCGUGGCUCACCCGCCUCUCGGUUUGAGUUCCUGCUCGGUUACUCAGCGCAUUUUGAUAAUGCCGCCCGCACUGUUCACAGCGUGUGUGUGGAGCCUCUCUCCGCAUACUCGUGCGGCUGUGUGGGUCACCCCAAGUUGAGAGGUGAGCAGCUUAGUGAGGUUGCAAGGGAUGGCCCCAGUCACUCCGAGCGCAAGGCAUUCAUUGGUGGAGUAGUGGACCGUCCAUCCGGCCGCUUCCAGCAGUCGCUUGAGUUCUUGGUGUUGUUGGGAUUUUUCUUCCCGCUUGUCCAAAUGGCAGACGUCAGAGCUGUAACCGAUUUCAAGGAUAUAGAUGGGCAGCCGUGCUUUGUUCAGGGGCGGGCGGUACCCUUCUCUAUGUGUUUCAUGGGCGGGCAGGUUUGGGAUGAACAGAAUGUCAGGUCUGAGCCUUGUAAUAAGGGGUGAUGAUGUCCUCUCCGCAGCCAGCCAGGCGGGGGGGCGUUGUGCAGACGCAUAGUGUGGCAGGUCGGCUAGGGGGCCCGCAUCCAUGACCAUGAACCCGUUCCCGUAGGUCCCUUUGGAGAUGCAUUUGGCGAUACGCUGGACUGCCCAGUUGUGCCGAUUGAUGUACGCGCCUUUCAUUUUAGGGUGUGUGCAGCCUCCGAGGAUGUGCCCUCCGGAGUCAGGGGUGUGGCAGAGGGGGCAGUUGCCGUUCCCUCCCAGGCGGUAGCGCCGUUUAAGCUGUGCGUUGAAGAGGUAGCCGUAGCGGGCGUAGAGUAUUUGCUUGACCAGCCAGGGGUGCCUGGUGGAGCUGGCGAGGGUGCGGUUGCUGAGGGUGGGGCACAUGUUGGCAGAUGCUUCCGCCCAUUGCUCCAGCACUGGUGUAUUAUUGGUAAAGCCUUGUUGUGCUUCGGGGGGCAAUGAGUUCAGGACUCCACGGUUUAGGUCGCUUAGGUAGAAAUUGUCAGAGUUGCGUUUGGGCCACCAGAUGUUGGACCACGGUUCGUCUGGUGCUAAGCGUAUGGCCUGCCCCAUGGCCUCCAUGUCGUUGGCGGCGACUUUGGCUGCACCUUUGUCAGCUUCCUCGUUGCCGUGGAGCCCUGUGUGAGAGCGGACUUUCAGCAGCUGGACUGGGACCCCGGCGUCAGCAUACAUUUGUAGCUCGUGGAGAAUGUUUUCCAGCAGGUUUUUAGAAAUAGAAAUAGAAAUAGAGACACCCUGCCGUAGGCAAGUGGUGUGAAUUAAGGGAGUGGGGGGAGAUGAGGAGGUGGGCCAGGCCCGCCUCCUGUACGCCCCCACUACCGAGCAUGUGAAGGCGGGCGUGCAGGCCAGGCCUGCAUCCCGCCAGGAUGUUACGUCCCGCCCGGGUCGCCAGGUGGCAGUCCCCGUUCGAGACGCCGUCUGGUCAAGACAAUGUGGUUGAGGGUGGCGACUGCGUGGUCGUGUAGGGUGUCGCAGCACUGCCUGGCUUUGUGGGAAGUGACGCCCAGGGAGGUGAGGAGGGGAUGGAGGUCCUUGCGGAUUGUGCCUGCAAAUCCGAGGCUGAUUGCGCUCUGCGGGGUGUAUUGCACUUUCCAUCCCGCUUCCCGCAGGUCGGCUGCAAGUGCCUGGUGCUGUUGUGCUUUUUCGUGUUGCUUGGCGGCGUGGUUCGUGUCGGCGGUGUAUCCUGCUUCGAUGAUGUGGAUGGUGUCGCGUUCGCUGGGAAGCACGACAAAGUCUGGGUUUAGGGCUGCGGCGAGGGAGAUGGAAGGGAUUAGUAGGAUGUCGGGGCGGUAAUGUAGGUGGCGUCCUGCUGGUUUGCCCUCCUGGUCGGGGAGCAGCCACGGCGGCAGGCGGUUGUCAGCCGCGUAGUCUGGCAGAUCGGCUUUAGACGUGGCGUCCAUUACCAUGUAGCAGCCGCCGCAGUCACCACGGGAGAUGGCUCGUGCGAUGGUCUGGACUGCAAUGUUGUGUCGUUUUAUGUACAUUGCACGGAGUUGGGGGUUGUGGCAGCCUCCCAGUAUAUGGCCACCGGAGUCGGGUCCGCGACAGAGUGGGCAUGGGGCGGGGGUAUCGGGGCCAGCGCGGGGGGCUCGGCGGCCUGUGACUGUGCGGCCGAAACGGGCGGCGAGUUUAUUGUUCCACAGCUGCCCGUACAGAUAGUCCAUGCAGCGUUUGGCCUUGCGGUGCCGGCCUGAUUGCAGGUUCAUGGUUCGGGUGCUGGAUUUGAUAUCCAGGUCUGGGAUGGCGUUGGCAACGAAGCCAGUGUAGAGGGUUUCGCGGGUGUGGCCUUGGGCGAUGUGCGGGGCCGCGAGCAUGGCGAUGCCGCGGUUGAGGUCAUGCGCAUAGUGCCCUUCGUUCUUCUCUCGUGGCACCCCUUCCACAGUCGGUUUCAUAGUUUUACGUAUCCAGUAGUAUUUGCUACGCGGGUCGUUAUCGGAUUCCUCGACCAGCCACUCGGCCCCGGGCAUCUGUUCUCCCUUGGCGGUUUUCACCGCCGCCUGAUCUGCGAGUUCAUUGUGUGCAAUCCCUGAAUGUGCUUUGACCUUGAGGAGAUUAGUCCGGCGGCCGGCGUGGGAGCGGCGUUUCAGGAGCGCGAGGAUGUUAUCCAGCAGCGCUUUGUGUUUGCUGAAGGUGAGGAGUUGGGGCUGGUUGAUUGUUUUGCGGAUGAGGAACAGCGACGCAGCGGAGUCAGUGUAUACUGUGACUUCGGGGAGCGCUUGCACUUCGUCUAGCUUGAGCACUUGGUGUAUGGCCGAGAGCUCGCAGCGUGUGAUGGUGUUACAGCCGUGUUGCCCAGGGUUGACGUCGAUUUGAUAGCAGCGCAGCGUGCGGGCAUCAAUCGCUGCGGCCCCCCACGCGCUGGGCUGACCGAGGGCGUCCUUCUGCACUGAGCCAUCGGUGUAGAAGCCUUCAUAGGGAUUGAGGCGGAGGGGCUGGGUGGCCGCGAAGGGGGCCAGGGUGGCUGGCGUGGCCGGUACGGGAGGGGGUGUUACCCGGGGUGCCGCCGGACGGGUGCGGGUCAUCCGGCGAACUUGCUUGGUUACCCAUCGCGUGUGGGCCCACGUGAGUUGGGGCUGCGGGUCGACGGGCAUGCCCGAGAGGUAUAGGGAUGUGCCUAUCGACCACGGCAGAGGUUGCUUAGCGAUAAGUUGGUGUGUAACGUCGGUUCAGACCCGAGUUCGAUCCUCCCCAAAUUCGGUACAGGGGAAACCUCCGUGCGUAUUCAAAUCACGCACAGGCGCUCCGCAGGGACCGCACGGCUCUUCAGUCGUGUCCUUGUCAUCCGUGGCUAACGUCAGAUAAGAGAGCGGUCGUGAAGUGCCGGCAAAGGGGCCGGACUCUGGAGCGAUCCAGAGUUUCAGUUGAGAUGUUGCCCGACAGUCGGCAUUACCUGAUCCCCCGAUCUCAGGUACCGAAAGCCGUGAGGGUAGAUCAUCCGAGCUGAACAUGGAUAGGACACCAGGGGCUUAAUCCACCCCGCUCCCACCGGUGGGCAGGACCGGCAAAUGAUAAGGUGGUCGUGGUGACUUCCCGCCUUCUCUCGAACUGGGUUGAGAGAUGAUCAGCGAAGGCGUUGCCCCGUUAAUACAUGCUAGGCCCUAUGGGCCAGCGUUGGGAUUAUUAUUAUUAUUAUUAGGGAUGUGCCUAGGGCGUCGCGUAUGGGCUGGGCGAGUUGGGCUCCGGGUGUAUUGCUGACCAGCACUAGGUCGUGUUUUAGGGUGAUGCCUGUGUCGUUGUGGAUCUGGCCGAGAAGGGCGUGUGUUGUUGUGGCGGAGAUGCUGCCAAGGAGUGUAACUCUGGGGUGGGCGAGGUAUCGUGUGUAUGGCGCGUUGCGUUGGGUGGGGAGGAUGAGCAGCGUGGCAGUGGUUGGCGGGUUGCGGGUGUUUGUAAGGGUUUCGGUGUGUUCGGCCCAUGCUAGUGCCCAGCGGACUGCGUGAGCUCCGUCUUCGGUGUUGGGUUCGGGGCAGGCGACAGCAACUCCAUCCCAUGGCUGUGAGUACGCAUCAUAGUUGGCCCCAAAGAGCAUGUCUUCUUCGUACAGUGUGUAGUAGGUGGUGGCGGCGUCCGAUACGUUGAGGGGUGAUGCGAAGAGCUCCGUUGUGCUGCCUAUUGCUGUGUGCAGGGUUUGCGUCAGCCCUUCACACAGCAUGCGUUCGCCUUUUUCGGUAACAGGGUGGGAUUUGGAGCCGCCCCCGGGUUUGUAUCGGAGGAGCAGGCAGGCGAUGGCGGCCGCAAAGCCUCUGCCCUGAUCGUGCUGGGCGUGCACUUCGGGCCAGGUUGUUUGUGCAUGCUGGUAGCGUUGCCACAGGAGGCUGAGCCGCUCUGCGCUGAUGGUGCCUAUGCACCGUCCGCGGGGGUCGUAGACAUGCGCCAGGUGGGUGCCGCAUGCCGGGGAGCCGGGGUCGAGGACUGUACCGAGCUGGACGGUGUAUGCUUGCGUGGGGUGGAUGUCUCGGCUAGGGUUGCAGGGCUCAACGUUGAUAUCUACGUAGUGGCGCAGGGUGCGCUGCCCUCGUGCUGUGUCAUUGCUGGCGUCUGUCCAGCGGCCCUGUCGCUGGUCGUGGCUGAGGUGGGUGUCCGUAGCGGGGGGUGGCGGGCGGGGGCCCAGGGGGACGGCGAGGCGGGCGUUAAGGGCGUCUAGGAGUUCCUGCUUGUUGUCUUGUGCAUCCAGGAUAGCGGCGGGUUCUUCCAAGUCUUCCCAUUCCACAAGGACGCGAGGUUCGUUACCUGGGGUGAGGAGCCAGGUAAGGCCGCCGGGUUUGGGGCGGUAGCGGUUGCGGGCGUAGAGGGUGAGGGAGCCGGGGGUGAUGACGGUGGGUUCCCACUGGACUCGGUAAAAGGGCGCGCCUUUGCUGGUGGUGUGCGCUAUCACUUGUUGUACUCGCUCCUGUUGCCCGUAUAGGGUGUUGGUGGUGGUUAGGGCUUUGGUGCGGUAGGUUUCGCUGAAGUGCUUCCAUGUGUCGGACGUGGCGGCUAGGUACGCGUCUUGCUCCUCCUGACUGAGCUUGUGUCGGUGUGUGAAUGUGGCUGGGGGUGUGGGGCCGAGGAGCAGGCCUCUGAGGUGUGCCGCGGGGUUUUGGGGCUUGGAUUUGCCGAGGAGGCUAGGGGCGUUAUGGAUCAGGUCUGCGCAGUGUGCUUCUGUAAGCGGAUCGAGCGAUGGAUCCCAAUCAAAUGCUGCGGGCGCAUCAGCAGGCGGUGAUCCACGACCUUCAGGUUCCCUGACCAUCUUAAUGCAAGCCCGCUUACGUUGCUGUGUGCCUGGCCGGCGUGUUUGUGCAGGUGCAUGGUUCUCGCCGGCGUGGUGGUCCUCCUCAGGCUCGGCCGCCGCGGUGGUGGCGGCGGCGGUGGUGGCCGCAGCGGUUUCUCCGUCGUUGGCAGUCUGUCCGGUGGCGGGGGCGCGCUGGCGGAGGAAGCGGUUAAGCGUGCCCCAGUCGACGGCGGCAGGUGCGGUGUGGGCCGUGUGGAGGCCAGUGAAGGUGUGUCCAUCUGGAAGAGUGCGCUGGGCAGUGGUGAGGGGAGCGGUGCUGUUGUGGGUUUUGGCGCGAGUUCGGGUUUCAGCGUGGAGUGCGAGAGUGAGACGGUUGAGGGCUAGCCUGUGCCGCCUUUGGGCCCUCGGCCAUGUGUUUUUUAGAGUGUUGGCAUCGAUGACGCAGGUGCGGUCCGGAGUGAGGAGCUCGCGGAAGUCGCUGGUGAGUUCAAGGAGGGGUUGGAUCAAUCGGAAGGGCAGGGCCUGUUCCGCGUCGGCGCCUGGCGGCACGGUGCGUGCAAGGAGGGCCGACAAACCGUGUAGUGUAGUGUGGUAUGCGCUGCCCUGUUGGGUCAGCUCCAGGCCCGCGUCUGUGAUCAGCGACAGCUGUCGCAGGCUGGUAUAGAAGCGGCAUUGUGUGCGGAGCUGAUCUGCGGGUAUCUUCUGUGCCACGCUGUGUUGCAGGUGGAGCAUGGCGCGGGUGACGGCGCCCAGCCUGCCUCCAUCGUUCAGGGCCUGGACGAGAGCCUUGCCGGCGCGGCGGACAUACAGCUCGCGGAUGCUGCCUACGCCCAGGCCAAGGGCGUUGGUGGGUUGGAGGAUAGCGCGGGUGGGGAAGCCUCGUUUCAGGCCGUAGCACAUUUUGGCGGUGCUGGCAAUCAGGGAGUCGAGGCUGGUGACGUCAUGUGUGCUGUACGGCAUGAACGGGAGGCUGUAGGCCACUGCUGGGUGGAUGGUAAAUUGUAUCAUUCGGAGCUUUUGGUCUGGUGUGGCAAGUGAUGUGGCGAUGCGUUGCCCUCGCUUCUUAAUCUUUUCCCGGAUGUACUGUACUUGUGCGCUCCAGUCUAGGGUAGGGGUGAUGUGGAUGCCGAGGUAUUUGUAAGAUUCAUGCGGGGGCUUGUAUGGGAUAGCGGUGCCGUCUAUGCGGAUUUGGCCUUCUAGCAUCCGGGCGAGCGCUGCCUGGUGGAGCUNNNNNNNNNNNNNNNNNNNNNNNNNNNNNNNNNNNNNNNNNNNNNNNNNNNNNNNNNNNNNNNNNNNNNNNNNNNNNNNNNNNNNNNNNNNNNNNNNNNNNNNNNNNNNNNNNNNNNNNNNNNNNNNNNNNNNNNNNNNNNNNNNNNNNNNNNNNNNNNNNNNNNNNNNNNNNNNNNNNNNNNNNNNNNNNNNNNNNNNNNNNNNNNNNNNNNNNNNNNNNNNNNNNNNNNNNNNNNNNNNNNNNNNNNNNNNNNNNNNNNNNNNNNNNNNNNNNNNNNNNNNNNNNNNNNNNNNNNNNNNNNNNNNNNNNNNNNNNNNNNNNNNNNNNNNNNNNGCCUGGUGGAGCUGAGGGUCAUGAGUUGGUGGAUGGCUGUCUGCAGGUUGGUUGGUAUUGUCUGGAGGAGUUCGUUGGGUAUUCCAUCGGGCCCCGGGGCCUUGCGGCGGGACAGGUGGUUGACGCAGCCGAAGAACGUUGUGCUGUCGGCUAUGCCGGGCAGUAGGGUGGCGGGUGCGUCGGUUGGCUUGGAUAGGGCCGGCAUACGAUCAGGUGCAUCGGGCCGGCUCCAGGCGUACUGUUUCUCGCUGUAAGGUAUGUCGUAGUGUCCUGUGCGGGGGCCAUUGAUUGGGAGGAGUUGAGCGGUGAAGUGCUGGUGGAUGCUGCUCAGGAUUUUCUCGGGUGCGGUGUGGACUUCUUUGGUGGUGGGGUCAGUGAGGGCGGGCGUGCCGCGUGGCUGGUCCGUUUCAUCGAAGAUCUUCUGGUGUGCGCGCUUUGGCUGUGUUGCAACCAGUCGUCGGAAGGCGCGGGCUGCCCGUUUGGUGUUGAGUUUCCUUGCUUCCUUUUUUGCGGCACGGAGGAGGGUGCGUGCGUUGAGUAGCUGACUCCGGAUGGCGGUGGGUGUGUCGGCUUCUGCGGGGGUCGGCGGGGUAGGUGUGGGACUGGUGGUGUUGGGUGGGGGCGUCGGGGCGGGGUGAGGUGUGGUGGUGGGUGGGGUGGCGCCCGCUGCGUUUGUGACAGUAAGGGCGGCUGUGAGUCGUUCUUUGAGCUUGCUGGUGGCAGUCAGGAGGCGCGUCACUGUUUUUGACGUGUGGUGUCGUGGGCUUGUAGUGCUGGCGCGCGGCGGUUUCUUGUCGCAGUAGGUUUUGAGAACGUCCAGGCACUUUUGGAGGAUGGAUUCGAGUGUGUUGCUGAUGGACGUGGUGUCGGCUGCACUAACUUCGGGAAGGGCGCGGAAUUCCGCAGGGCUUGGGGUGUUCCGCUCGGCUUGGGCAGGGGUGAGGCCGGCAGGGUAUAGCUUAUUGGUGAUGGCGAGGUGUGCGGGGUGUAGCGUGUUCAGUAGGUCGGCGAUCUCUUGCCCAGUGGUUUCUUCCAUCUUGAUGCGCGCUUUCUCGCGCUGGUCUUUGGUUGGUGGAUGGUAGUUUACCCAUGCGUCAGGAUCGGAGGGGGCGGCAGGUGCCGUGGGGAAGGGGUAGAGGCGGAGGGCAGCGAGGGGGACGCUGGAGAGGAGAGCACGGUGGUCGAGGGCAUCACCGCAUUCAUGCGCCGCUUCCUGUCCACCUCCUGUUGUAUUGAUGAUGGCGUGUGUGUGGUGGCUUAUUAGUAGGUCGUCAAUGCGGCUCAUGUGCGGUGCGGUGGCUUGAUCGUGUAGGUAUGUGUGGGGCCGGGGGUGUUCGUGUGUGGGUGGUGUGAGUGGGUGCAGGCCCGCAGAGGCGGCGAAGGCAAUGUGGGCGCGGUCCGUAGCGUUCAGCUGGCCUGUGCUGCGGUCGGAGGGGAACAGCACUGCGUUCCAGUCGCCUCCAAUAAGGAGAUGCUCUUUCGCGGCUGUCGUUUUGGCGGCUUGGUCGGUGCAGUAUUUGUAGAUUGCAGCACGGGUGGCGUCGUCGCUGGGGGCGUAUAUGCCGAUGGCGUGUACUGGCGUGCUGUGUGGUGGUGCAAUGCGUAUGUGGCAGACGUGGCCUGCCAGGCGUGAGUCUGUGUUGUGUGCAUUCAUGUCUGUGGUGCCAGACGGGCGGCUAAAGCGGUGGGUGACACCGACCAUGACGCCGGCAUGGGGGCGGGUUCCCUCGCGUGGGUUGUAGGGUGCGUUGCUGGUGUAGGUUUGGUAGUGCGAGGAGAGGCCUUUUUUAGCGCUGCCCAUGCUGUAGUGGAGGCGGGUGGGAAUUUUGGUUUCGGUGAGGAAGAGGAUGUCGGGUGUGUGUGUGGUGACCGUGUGGAGGAUGCUUUCAUGGUGGCUCAACAGUUCCCUGGUGUUGAGGGUGAGGAUGGAGAUGCGUCCGUCGGGGGGUGGAGAGGGGCUGGCCUGGGCUUGGCCGUUUGUGGGUUCGGUGGGUGUGUUUUGGAGUGUGGCCGUGUGUCUUCUUUUGUGCGAUGUUGCUAUGGUGGUCUGGUGGAGUCUCUUGGCUGGCGGCGGUGCGCUGGGGGUGCCGGUGGCGAGUUUGCGUAAUUUAGGGGUGGGGUUGGGCGUACGCCUGGCGGGGCGUUUUGUGGGGCCCGCUGGUUUGGGCACGAUGCGCGUGGCAGUGUUGCUUCGGGCGGCUGGGCCUGGGUUGGCGCUCGUAGGCGGGCUAGGGGAGUUUGUGGUGUUGGGGCCGGCGGGGGGGCCGCCGGUAGGGUUAGUGGGGGGGUCCUGUGCGAGGGCUGCGGGUGUGGGGCCGAGUUUGUUAGCAGUGGAGGUACUGUUGCCAUUUUGGGUGCGUGUGCGUUUGGUGCCGGCGUGUGGGCGGGUUUCCUCAUUGGUGCGGACAGGGGUGAUGCGUAUGCCCUCGUGUGAGAGGGUGAUGCGGGUGGUGGGGGGGCUGGUUGGCGGGAUGUCCCGGAUGUUGAAGUUGGUUGAUAUUUCGGGGUGUCGUGUGUAAGUGAGGGUUAGGGCGAGGCCGCGCCCCAGAUCCGCCCAUCGGUAGUAUCCCGGCUGUGCUGUGUUGGCGUUCGUGAGGGGGAUGGCGCGUUUUGCGUUGGAGUCGUGUAGCCACCAGCGGCCGUUUGCGUGUUUCACAGUUCGGGCAUGGCCGCCGUGGAUAAGAAUAAAGCCGAUGUGGCGGGAUUCGGAGGGAAUGGCGUUGAGUGCUUCGUGUUGGUUGAGGCCGCCAUGGUACGAGCAUGCCGUGAGUUGGACGUAGGGUAGGCCUGGCAGGGGGGAACAGGUGGUAGCUUUGAGGCAGUGGUUUAUGAGGCCGUAGUCGAUGUUGUUGGUUGUCAGGUAGGUCGCCCAUGUGGGUGUUGAAGCCGGGGAGUUGCGGUGGAGGUGCUGCGAUCCUCGCGCCCAUUCGGCGUAGACAGUGGCGGGUGUGAGAAGGCGUUUCCCAAGCAGGUUGUUGAUUGCGUGUAUGAGGCAGGAGCGGUUGUCGUGUUGUUUCUCAUGGAGGUGCAUUGCUCGGACAACUGGUGUGGUGGAUUUGAGGCGGUUGCUCUUGCUGCCGGCAUGCCGGUUUUCCGUGUGGGCCGAUGCAGGAGUUGGGUGGGCGCUGUACAUGUAUCUCAUGAGUGCUGCAGCUGCAAUCCCGGCUGCAAUUCUCGCUAUUGUGUUGGCAUAGUGCGCUAGCCCAUGCCUCUUCCCGGGUGUGGUCAAUGUGUUGUUGGGUGCUGCAGGUUUGAUACAGGUGGCGGCGUGGGCCGGCAGGUCCCGUUCUCCUUCCUGGGGUCUUAGCCAACUCUUCUUGCGUGCUCCUCCCUCGUGUUGCCUCCACUCCUUCCAGCCUCUGCCGCCUGUGGCUGCAUUGUAGCCAUUCGUUCUAUUUGUCUCCAUGUCGGGACUAGUUCCACUAAUGUAGGCCUCGUGCGCCUCGUGCCAGCCCAGUUUGCGCGUCCUGUGCCGUGCUUCUGCCUCACAGCUUCUGUUGACAUUUUGCCACCCUCUCGUAUCGUCAAGCCAAACUGUUCCUGUUGUCCCCAUACGUGCGUCUACUUUGUCUAGCUUCCUUCUCCGAGCACCUAAGCCACCAGGUCUGCUCACUUCAUUCACCACCAUCCAUUCAUGUGUGCGAGCAUGCGUGACUACUGCUUCCACGUUAAUAUCAGCGACUGCACUUAUCCAGAUUCGAACUGGAGACCUCCCGCUGUUUCGCCCCGAGACGUGUUGGGUCCACACCGCCCAGCCAUCACCACACACCCCACCUGCCACACCCACCCUUGUGCACUGUUGUUUCACAUUUUCAUAUGUGCAUGUUGCCUGACCUAUUUGCAAUGCAGACACGAGCAGGGAGCCAUGUUGCCAGCCCUCACAGUGCCUUCAGUGCCCCUGCACGCACGCCUGGACAAGGCGGGUGGGGUCCACACCGCCCAGCCAUCACCACACACCCCACCUGCCACACCCACCCUUGUGCACUGUUGUUUCACAUUUUCAUAUGUGCAUGUUGCCUGACCUAUUUGCAAUGCAGACACGAGCAGGGAGCCAUGUUGCCAGCCCUCACAGUGCCUUCAGUGCCCCUGCACGCACGCCUGGACAAGGCGGGUGGGGUCCACACCGCCCAGCCAUCACCACACACCCCACCUGCCACACCCACCCUUGUGCACUGUUGUUUCACAUUUUCAUAUGUGCAUGUUGCCUGAC